GACGUCAAGUCAUCAUGGCCCUUAUGUCUGGGCUACACACGUGCUACAAUGGCUGGUACAAGGAGACGCAAGACCGCGAGGUGGAGCAAAUCUUCAAAACCAGUCCCAGUUCGGAUUGUAGGCUGAAACUCGCCUGCAUGAAGUCGGAGUUGCUAGUAAUCGUGAAUCAGAAUGUCACGGUGAAUGCGUUCCCGGGUCUUGUACACACCGCCCGUCACACCAUGGAAGCUGGGGGCGCCCGAAGUUGGUCGAGAAAUAGAUUACCUAAGGCGAAAUCAGUGACUAGGGU
This 289-nucleotide ribosomal RNA is filed under the name uncultured bacterium. RNAcentral describes it as "partial 16S ribosomal RNA". It matches the Rfam family "Bacterial small subunit ribosomal RNA", at positions 1181 to 1481 of the family's 1533-position model. The record is from RNAcentral.